AUGUAUGAAGUGAUUGCAGUAGGGCGACCGUUCGCUUGAUGGGACAACAAUGCUUGAUUGAUAAGCGAUAAGCCAGUUGUUGUUUAGUACUCGUGGUGACAUACAAAGUAUUUCAAACCUUUACAACAUGUAUCAGUUGUGCAAAAUUUGUAAUAAACCAUUAUUCAACAAUCACAAUUUACGCGUACGACUUUGGAAUAUAUUCAAAUGUAGUUCAAUCAGUGGUCUUGUCGGUACAAUAAUUGGUGCUGCAGCAUUGCCACUUUUGGGUUUUAGAUAUGCUGGAGUAAUGGCUCGUUCAUUGGCGGCAGCAUGCCAAACAGCAUACACAGCUGCCGGCUCAGUAUUUGCAAUUUUACAAUCAUUGGGAGCCACUAGAAUUGGAAUUUUUUUGUUUGGGGCUAUCGGUGGUAUUGGUUUUGGACUAAUUAGUUUUCUAUUAUCAUCAAAUUAUUUUACUACAACUGGUUGGUGCUAUGGUCAUAAAGAUUAAAAUUACAGUUCUCCGAAUGAGAAAGUGUACUUUGGGUUUUCAACCCUCUUUUAUAAGUUAUAAACACUACACAUCGAAAAUAAUUAUUAAAAAAUAAAAUAUCAUAAAUACUAAUAAAUAUAUAAAAAUUUUCAUUCAAUGAUGAUUUAAAACUUGAUAGUGCUAUCAACACCGACAUUGUGCUUCACAUACUCAUAUUACACUCUUGUAUGCAGAAACUUAUACGCAUGUAUAUAAGAUUGCACUCCUUCCAUACACUCCAUGUAGCAGUUACGCAGUCCAAUUUAAGAUGACAGCACUUAUUUUUUAUAUUAAAUAUUGCGAAGAGACGGCAUUUCUUUAUAUAUAAACAAAUCAAACAGUUGAUAUAUUAUGUACUAUUAUUUACUUCAUACUUUUUACUGCUUACAUAAAAAUAAGAAGUUAAUCAUUAGCAAUUCAAUAAAAUGAUUUUCUUAAUAAUUUGGUAAUUGAUAAAAUUGUUAAACUUAUAAUUCUAAAUUAAUUAUAUUUGAAAAAAAUGUCUUUUGUGUGCAAUAAAAAUUUUCAGUCCUUAUAUUUACGGCAAAACUUCUCGUAUAAACAAAAUUGGUGUGUUUUACUUUAUUCCUGUUUAUUUUAAGGUAGUUUACUCGCAAACCGACUUUUUAUAAGAAUUUCAUAUGAUUGAAAUAUGAUAUCAAGGUAUAUGUCCUGCAUGUAUUUUUAAAAAAUCAGAAUUUUUAAUCGUUUGUGAGGCGAGAUAUUGAUAAUCAAAAUGCACACAGUUAACGUAUAGUAGCCCCGACUAACCUAUAAAAAAAGUCAUAUUUUCACGUAUAUUUCAAAUUAUUUCGCUUAAGAACCUUUCCAAAAACUAACAGAUUGUAGAAAAAAAAAUUUCGAAUUAAAAAAAAUUUUUAAAUAACCAUACUACCGAUUAGUGAAAAAGUUGUAAAUAUUCAAAGAAAUCUGUCGCACAAUUUCAAAUGAGAAAAGCGAGUAAGCAAUAUCAAGUAAAAGAGGAAGCAAUAGCGAGUGAGAGAGUGCAGUUCCUGGUAUCCAGUUGCUCAUUUAUUGCCGGUUUAAAAAUUGCUUAUCAGUAUAUAAUUUUCUCAUUUUAAUGGUGGUUCCUUCAUCAAAAAACUGACAAAAUACACUGUUAGAAGUAUUUAUUUGAGCCAAAUAAGAUUUAUUAAUAGUUAAUAAAUGA
This is a long non-coding RNA of Microplitis mediator, 1685 nucleotides long. RefSeq lists it as uncharacterized. The record is from RefSeq and is a predicted model, not a curated record. NCBI's taxonomy places the organism in Eukaryota, Metazoa, Arthropoda, Insecta, Hymenoptera, Braconidae. The transcript has 3 exons.